UUUCUCUCUCUAUUUUUUAUGUGACUUUUAAAGCUUCCAAGUUCCAAUAGGACUUGAAAGUUCAACAACCUGGCUUCCAAUUUCCAUAACCUCACUUCUUCUCCACGUGAGAUGUGAGGUGCAGACUUUAUUCAAACCCACCCCCCCUCUUCUUGCGAGAUGGCCUUCAGCAGAAAUUCCCAUUUUUUUCUUGGCUCCAAUACACAUGGUCUUCCUCCAGAAGCAAGAAUCAAUUCCGAUAUACUUGGGCUUCCGUGGAUUCCGUAUAUUUCGAACCUCCAUUUGGAUUGGGUAACCGUUGAUUUCCAAGUGAGAAUGGGUAAGGUCAUAAACUCUUUCAUUUUUUCGCUGCAUCGUUCUUUCGCUCUUCACCACCUUGCUUGUGCUCCUUUUGUGGCUCGAAUUCAAAGCGAAGGAGGAAGAAGAUAACCAGCAGAAGUUUCUGUCAUCAGUAUUUCUUUGAUUGGUUGUUGGACAAACUAUUUUGCAAUACUUCGAAAACAAAUGUUGAUUUAUGGCUCCAAAGGUUAGAAUUUGCACUCUGAAAUUUGUAGUAACGCACUCAUAGUAUCUGCUGUAUUUUGAAUGGGUUUUUGAUGUACUAGUGUGUAAUUAUCAUUCACUGGUAUUUCUGUUUCCACAUAGAGGAUUAUUUGACUGGUCUUGGCAGUGGGCAUUUGGACACCCUUUUUGUGUUCCCGUUCAUGUUUUGUCUUCUAUACUUGCCCUCCUUUCUCAUUAACACUUGUACAAAGUGAUGUUUUUCCCAAAAUCUUUUGUAGCUUUGGUUUGUCUUCUAGUUCUUUGGGUGUUAAUACAAAGGUUGCCAUGUGAAUGAUUUUCCCAAAUAAUUUGGGAAGUUUGACAGCAAGCUUUUCCUUCUUUGUAAACUUGGGAUAGCUUGAACUCACUUCAUGUGAUAAAGAUUAAUUUGGGAAUUUUGACAGGCAAGCUUUUCAUUUUCUAUAAAUUUGGGACGGCUUGAACUUCUUUUUUUUUUUAGUCCAAUCUUCACGUGGCAGAGAAGCAGGUUUCUUUUAGUUGUCCAUUUAAGGAUUGGGAAAUUUCCUUUCUUUCCUUUUUGUCUUGUAGCAUCUGUUGGUUUUAUUUCAAUGCCUUUGGUCAAUAUUUUUGACCCAAUGUUUGAUCAAAAUGAUAGCCACACUUAAGUCCUUCGAAUGACGUCUUCUUCCUUUCCUUUACUUGUCUUUAUCAAAAGUUGAAUUGGGGGACUUCCUUUUGUGGAAUUUAGACCAAACAUGAGUCGGUCAAGGGAAUAAAGGUGCUUUUGGCUUCUUUUCCUUUGCAAACCAUCUUUUCCAUUUUUUUUUUCUUAUCUUUCGAAUUCUCGACGCAAAAGACUUUGGGUGGGACUCUUGAACAAUUAAGUUUUCUUUUCCCUUUCUCUGGAGUAAUCUUUUAAGUUUAGGACCAGCAACUAACCACCUUCUUGGAGCAUAUUGUUCUACUUUUGCCAACAAGCUCCUGCACUGUUGUUGAUUGAAUGAAAAAUAGGUUGUGAGCGAUAUUUGAAGUCGAAACUUGUUCUUUUUUUUUAUCAAAUCCAUUGCUUGCCGUGACACUGAUUGCUGCUUUCUUUCUUGGCAUGGACGUCGAACAUGGAUCUCUUUAGAUUUGAUCGGAAUUUCACGGGGUGGUUUAGGCCACCCCGAAGAAAUUCAUGGGAUUCUGGGAAUUAUUUCUGCUGCUGUCAGUGGGGAGUCGGUGAGUUGUUCAGAGUCUCCACCUCCAUUUGUUUGGUGAAGGAGAAUGCCAAGCAAGGAGACAAAAGCCAAAAAAAAAAAGGCUAAAAGAGAGUUUAGAGAAAAAGAACAUCAUUUGCCGUGGAUCUUGGCUUGUUGUUCCCCCUUUUUUUUAUUUUUUUUAUUUGUUUCUCUGCGGUGGUCUCUGCUGUGAUGUUUUUUUGUUCUUUCUGCAACAUAACAUCAAACAAGAGAAAAAGAAUAAUUUUAACAGAACUUGUUUCAUACCUGGUGAUGAAUAUUCUUCUUUGGUUCUUGACUCGAAAGCACGAAUGGUUGAAUUCCUUGUUCACUUUUCUGGCAGCACUUCGUUGCUUUUGGUGUUUCUCUCAAAGUUUCUCUAUUUUUCUGCAUAGUAUCCCCUCUCUGUUUCUGUCUCUGUUGCUGCAGCUGAUGCCUAUUUAUAGGCAUCCUGGGAAGGCUCUAGAAUUUUUUUAUGUGGGGAAGAUGGAGGCCAUGUUUUCUGCCACUUUCUUUUAACCUCCUCCACGUUCUUUUGUUGCAGAAAAGUGGGGAGCCCCCCUUUUGUAGGAAGAAAUGCAUAUUUUAUUUAUUUAUUUACGGAUGUUGGUUUGUCUGUAAAGCCCAUCCUUAUCUUUUGGGCUGGAUUACAUUUUAUUUUACCUUGUAGUUUGACUCAAUUUGUAUGAACUCUAUUUUUUUAUGUUAUAUAUUUUUGUUGUUCAACA
Pyrus x bretschneideri (Chinese white pear) is the source of this 2452-nucleotide RNA transcript. RefSeq lists it as uncharacterized. NCBI's taxonomy places the organism in Eukaryota, Viridiplantae, Streptophyta, Magnoliopsida, Rosales, Rosaceae. The transcript is spliced from 3 exons. The record is from RefSeq and is a predicted model, not a curated record.